GCCAGUUGUGGUAGUAUGUGCCUGUAGUCCCAGCUACUUGGGAGGCUGAGAUGGGAGUACAGCCUGAGCCCAGGAGAUCUGGACUGGGCUUAGCGGGUGUCUGUACUAAGUUCCCCAUCAAUAUGGUGACCUUUUGGAACUGAGGACCACCAGGUUGCCUAAAAAGGGAUGAACCAGUCCAGGUUGGACAUGGAGCAGGUCGAAACUCCUCUGCUGGUCAGUAGUGGGAUCACACUUGUGAAUAGCCACUGCAUUCCAGCCUGGGCAACAUUGUGAGACCCACCCCCCCCAUCUCU
This 296-nucleotide signal recognition particle RNA is filed under the name Carlito syrichta (Philippine tarsier). RNAcentral describes it as "Metazoan signal recognition particle RNA (ENSTSYG00000033258.1)". It matches the Rfam family "Metazoan signal recognition particle RNA". Rfam says of the family: The signal recognition particle (SRP) is a universally conserved ribonucleoprotein. It is involved in the co-translational targeting of proteins to membranes. The record is from RNAcentral. Lineage: Eukaryota; Metazoa; Chordata; Mammalia; Primates; Tarsiidae.